AAUGAACGCUGGCGGCAGGCCUAACACAUGCAAGUCGAACGGAUCCUUCGGGAUUAGUGGCGGACGGGUGAGUAACGCGUGGGAACAUACCCUUUGGUACGGAAUAGCCUCGGGAAGCUGGGAGUAAUACCGUAUGUGGUCGAGAGACGAAAGAUUUAUCGCCAAAGGAUUGGCCCGCGUUGGAUUAGGUAGUUGGUGGGGUAAUGGCCUACCAAGCCGACGAUCCAUAGCUGGUUUGAGAGGAUGAUCAGCCACACUGGGACUGAGACACGGCCCAGACUCCUACGGGAGGCAGCAGUGGGGAAUCUUAGACAAAGGGGGAAACCCUGAUCUAGCCAUGCCGCGUGAUCGAUGAAGGCCUUAGGGUUGUAAAGAUCUUUCAGGUGGGAAGAUAAUGACUGUACCACCAGAAGAAGCCCCGGCUAACUCCGUGCCAGCCGCCGCUGUAA
RNAcentral lists this ribosomal RNA (449 nucleotides) under uncultured bacterium. RNAcentral describes it as "partial 16S ribosomal RNA". It matches the Rfam family "Bacterial small subunit ribosomal RNA", at positions 29 to 523 of the family's 1533-position model. The record is from RNAcentral.